ACCACACCACCCUGAACGUGCCUGAUCUUGUCUCAUCUCAGAAGCUAAGCAAGGUCAGGCUAGGUGAGCACUUGGAUGGGAGAAACUAGGUUUUUAAAAUU
This 101-nucleotide ribosomal RNA is filed under the name Choloepus hoffmanni (Hoffmann's two-fingered sloth). The record is from RNAcentral. Lineage: Eukaryota; Metazoa; Chordata; Mammalia; Pilosa; Megalonychidae.